GCCGGCCUGAGAGGGUGGACGGCCCACAUUGGGAACCUGAGAAUGACGGCCCCACGACUCCUACGGGAGGCAGCAGUGGGGAAUAUUGCACAAUGGGCGCAAGCCGGCCUGAGAGGGUGGACGGCCCACAUUGGGAACCUGAGAAUGACGGCCCCACGACUCCUACGGGAGGCAGCAGUGGGGAAUAUUGCACAAUGGGCG
RNAcentral lists this ribosomal RNA (201 nucleotides) under Corynebacterium diphtheriae. RNAcentral's name for it is "partial 16S ribosomal RNA". Lineage: Bacteria; Bacillati; Actinomycetota; Actinomycetes; Mycobacteriales; Corynebacteriaceae. The record is from RNAcentral.